GCUAUAUUUUUAAAAAGCAGCAGAGUGGAUUAAGAGAAAAUAAUCCCACCACUGACAAAAGCCAGAUGGAAGCAAGAAUGCAAAAUAUUUGUGUUAAUAGCAUUUUGCUGGAAAAUCACAAACCUCUCUACAAAAAGUGUAAACCCAGUUUAGAGUAUUCCAGUUACUCCCAUCCCCACCUUUCAUGGCGUCAUCUCUGGUAUCAGCCCCAGCCGUGCAUCACAAUUCCCAUUGCUCCCUGCUGAACAGUGAAGUUGAAAGAGCUACAUGGGGGAAUCAACAAUAUUUAUGAGUACCAAACCUCUACAUCGAAGCUGACCACCAAAAAGCCAAAAAUAAACAUUUAUAUCUCUA
Molecule: long non-coding RNA, 354 nt
Organism: Pseudopipra pipra
Lineage: Eukaryota; Metazoa; Chordata; Aves; Passeriformes; Pipridae
Exons: 2
Source: RefSeq, a predicted model, not a curated record